RNAcentral lists this ribosomal RNA (240 nucleotides) under Provespa anomala. RNAcentral describes it as "partial 16S rRNA". The record is from RNAcentral. Lineage: Eukaryota; Metazoa; Arthropoda; Insecta; Hymenoptera; Vespidae.
AUGAAAGAGUUAAUGAAAUAUAAAUUGUCUCAAAAUAAAAUAUUGAAUUUAAAUUAAAAGUAAAAAUGCUUUUAUGUAAUUAUAAGACGAUAAGACCCUAUAGAAUUUAAUAAAUUUUAUUUUUGUAAUUAUUUUAUUUAAUAAAAUUAUAUAAAUAAAUUAUAUUUUGUUGGGAGGAUAAUUAAAUAAGUUAAACUUUAAUAAAAUAUAAACAUUGAUGAAUGAAUAUUUUGAUUAUGU